This is a long non-coding RNA of Prosopis cineraria, 1219 nucleotides long. RefSeq lists it as uncharacterized. The transcript has 2 exons. The record is from RefSeq and is a predicted model, not a curated record. Lineage: Eukaryota; Viridiplantae; Streptophyta; Magnoliopsida; Fabales; Fabaceae.
UUUUUUGCAAAUCCUUGCAUCUGAACAAAAAGGUUUACUCCAUGAAGGUUUGAUUUCUUGCAAAAUGGCUUUCGUAAGGAAAAAGAUGGAACGGUUUUCUGCAACUGAACAUGAAAGAUUUUUUUUUAUUUCACGUUUCUAAAUAUUUGGCAUGAAGAUUCGACAUUUUGCAAUUGAAAAUGUCAGAAAUUACUAUCAAGUGUCCAUAUUUUAAGAUGGAACGCUGUCACUGUUUAACUGAUGCGAAAAUCACUUAUGUCAAAAGUAACUUGUUUCUAAGUGAUAUAUUAUUACAUUUUAUUUUGUUUCUUAUAGGUUGAUAUUAUUGGGUAUGAUGGAAAGUAGUUGUUUAAAGAAAAUUUUUUGUUAUUUUCAUUUUAGUGGAGAUAUUGUAAAAGAUAUGCAUAGGACAAUGUAUUAUGAUGGGGGGGAGUUGUAAUGAAAGAAUGAUUAGAGAAGGAAUGUCUUUUGAAGGACUUGUUAGAUUGAUUUCAUCAUGCUUGAAUUGUGAUUUAAAUGGAAUAGAGUUGAAGUACAUAGUAAAGUUUGAUUGCAGUGCUCUUUUAGACCUUAAAGAUGAUGAAGGGAUAAAUCAAUUAAUGAAAUUGAAUGAUAAUUUUGCUCAUGUGUACAUCAUUGGGAAGAUAUAGCAAAGUACAGAGGCAACAAGAGAUUCAAUUGAUGGAGCAAAAUGUUCAGCUGAGAAUUCACAUGCUACAUAAGAUCUUGAAGUUCUACCAUGUGCAAUACAAAGUAUCCCAACACUAAUGCUUGAGCUGAAUGCAACAAAGUGGAAAGAUUUACUAGUAGGACCUGAGCAGAUUUUUGCGAGUGCUGAUGAUUGUAGACAAGCAAUCUACAAGUAUAGUGUUGCAUUAUGCAUGUUAUCUUCGUAGUUCAUAGGAGAAAAUAUACAAUGACACUAUGCACAUAUUAAGACCCAUGAGAUGUCAAAGCCAAAUGCAUUGACAGUAUCUAAGCUCAUAAGCCAAACCUUUUUGCUACCUCCUAAAACAUCUCGAUCAGUUAGCAGACCUCGUCAUGUGAGGAUUGAGUCUCAAUAUCAGCAGAAGAAGGUUUAUCAUUGUUCUCAUUAUCAUGAAGCAGACCGUACAUGAAAGAGGUGUAAAAAUCUAAAUCCAAGUUGAUGUUAUUGUAAAUGGGUUACUACAUGAACUUGGAUUUGGGUGAUAUAUAUAUAUGGGUAGUUUUAGAUCAA